Pelobates cultripes (western spadefoot toad) is the source of this 225-nucleotide non-coding RNA. NCBI's taxonomy places the organism in Eukaryota, Metazoa, Chordata, Amphibia, Anura, Pelobatidae. The record is from the annotation of a GenBank genome assembly.
GACAGUGGUACAUAUCAAGUGUAAGAAAUACUCAGCAAAAAUGCAACAUGUGUAAAAAUGCCAUUUUCUUUCCCCUCACCACAAAUAUUAACAUAAAUUGGUGAAAAAAUGGUGACAUGUUAGUGCACAAUAUAUGCAAUAUACUCUGGGGUGUCUGUUUUAUCAAAUGGAAGCACUUUGUGAGGUUAUUUGAAUAGUGAAACUGCCAUAAUACCCCAAAAUGAG